GAUGAACGCUGACAGAAUGCUUAACACAUGCAAGUCUUUGGUGAAGCUGUUCUUGCACUGCCUAGCCAAGGCGGACGGGUGAGUAACGCGUGAGGAACUUGCCCUGCAGUCAGGGAUAACAGACGGGAACGACUGAUAAGACCUGGUAAAGUCAGGCGGACUCAUGUCCAGCCUGAUGAAAAGAGAUGCUGCAGGAGAGCCUUGCGUCCUAUUAGCUUGUUGGUGGGGUAACGGCCCACCAAGGCAAUGAUAGGUAGCCGGCCUGAGAGGGUGGACGGCCACAAGGGGACUGAGAUACGGCCCUUACUCCUACGGGAGGCAGCAGUGGGGAAUAUUGGACCAUGGGGGCAACCCUGAUCCAGCAAUUCUGUGUGCACGAUGAAGGUUUUCGGAUUGUAAAGUGCUUUCAGCAGGGAAGAAAAAAAUGACGGUACCUGCAGAAGAAGCGACGGCUAAAUACGUG
Molecule: ribosomal RNA, 463 nt
Filed under: uncultured bacterium
Lineage: Bacteria
Description: partial 16S ribosomal RNA
Rfam family: Bacterial small subunit ribosomal RNA
Source: RNAcentral